GCCGCGUGGGGGAUGACGGUCUUCGGAUUGUAAACCCCUUUCAGUAGGGACGAAGCGCAAGUGACGGUACCUGCAGAAGAAGCACCGGCUAACUACGUGCCAGCAGCCGCGGUAAUACGUAGGGUGCGAGCGUUGUCCGGAAUUACUGGGCGUAAAGAGCUCGUAGGCGGUUUGUCACGUCGUCUGUGAAAUCCCUCGGCUUAACCGGGGGCGUGCAGGCGAUACGGGCAGACUUGAGUACUACAGGGGAGACUGGAAUUCCUGGUGUAGCGGUGAAAUGCGCAGAUAUCAGGAGGAACACCGGUGGCGAAGGCGGGUCUCUGGGUAGUAACUGACGCUGAGGAGCGAAAGCAUGGGUAGCGAACAGGAUUAGAUACCCUGGUAGUCCAUGCCGUAAACGGUGGGCGCUAGGUGUGGGGUCCUUCCACGGACUCCGUGCCGUAGCUAACGCAUUAAGCGCCCCGCCUGGGGAGUACGGCCGCAAGGCUAAAACUCAAAGGAAUUGACGGGGGCCCGCACAAGCGGCGGAGCAUGUGGAUUAAUUCGAUGCAACGCGAAGAACCUUACCUAGGCUUGACAUAUACAGGACGACGGCAGAGAUGUCGUUUCCCUUGUGGCUUGUAUACAGGUGGUGCAUGGUUGUCGUCAGCUCGUGUCGUGAGAUGUUGGGUUAAGUCCCGCAACGAGCGCAACCC
Molecule: ribosomal RNA, 695 nt
Filed under: Dietzia maris
Lineage: Bacteria; Bacillati; Actinomycetota; Actinomycetes; Mycobacteriales; Dietziaceae
Description: bacterial SSU rRNA
Rfam family: Bacterial small subunit ribosomal RNA
Source: RNAcentral